GAUCAAUUUACUUUUAAUAUAAUUUUAAUUAUUCUUCUAUAAUAAUACACUCGAUUCUUUAAAGAAAAAUAAUAUACUAGAUGUAACAUAUAUAUUAGAAAAGAAUGCAUGAGAAUGCUUUGUAGAACAAUUGGCAAUCAGUACUAUUAAAUCGGCUUCAGUCAUGGGUUCGAUUCCCACAUAUAGCAAAUGCAAUUUCUUUUUUAAAGUAAGCUAAUCUGCCUGUUGAGAUCCGACCAGGUCAACCAGUUCACUAGUUAACCAGCCUAUCCAAGCGGAUGAGAUCUGAUUUUCAAAAUAAGAGGGUUUAAGCUUGAACCAAACCAAUUACUAGUCUGGUUCCCAGUUAAACCGGUCUGGUUGUGAUAACAGUGGCCAAAAAGCACUACCACUAAACUUGAAAUUUGUUGAUCUACCAAAAUCCAAUAUUGACACACUAGGAAGUUUUCAGAAUUAGCAUUGAUGGUAAUAACUAGUUGCAAAAUCUCAUCGAACUAGCACAACUAGGAUCACAAACCUUCCAUUUUCAUUUUCAGCACUACCACUCUCUUAUUAUCUUUUUCUCAAAAAAAAAGUUGCAUCUACAUCUAUUUCAAGAUCUAUGGCAAAAGAAAAAAAAAAAUCAUUAACUGACUUGAGAACUAAAUAAUGCUCCUUUAAUUCUGAAAGAUAAGGAAUAUGAUAAAGAUAUUGAUAUUGAAGAUGAGUAUUAAUAGGAUG
RNAcentral lists this unclassified non-coding RNA (720 nucleotides) under Hevea brasiliensis (rubber tree). Lineage: Eukaryota; Viridiplantae; Streptophyta; Magnoliopsida; Malpighiales; Euphorbiaceae. The record is from RNAcentral.